CCGUCAAACACUGGGGAUUACAAUUUGACUCAAGGUUUGGGUGGUGACACAAAUCCAAACCAUUUCAACUUCAUAUUUUAGGAUGUUAAAAGGGGAGCCUUCAUAGAGUGUUUUAGUUUCCUAUUGCUAUGGUAACAAAUUACCACAAAGUUACUGGCUUAGGAAAAUACAAAUUAAUUAUCUUCUAGUUCUGGAGGUCAGAUAUCCAAAAUGAGUCUUGCAGAGUUUAUUAUUUUUCUAGGGCUGCCAUGAAGCAAGUACAAACUGGGUGGCUUAAACAUCAGAAAUUUAUUGUCUCGCAGUUCUGGAGGCUAAAAUCUGAGAUAAAGGUGUCAGCAGGAUUGGUGUGAAGAAUAAUCUGUCUCAUACCUUUCCACUAGUUUCUCAUGGUUUGCUGGCAAUCUUUGGCAUACCUUAGUUUGCAGAAGCAUCACCACAAUCUCUGCUUUCACCUUCACGUGAUGCUCUUCCUGUGUUUAUGUCUGUGUCCAAUUUUCACUUCUUUAUCAGGACACCGGUCAUAUUAAAUUAGGUCCUGCCCUAAUGACCUCAUUUUAACUUGGUUAUCUCUAUUAAAGACCCUAACUCCAGAUAAGAUAACAUUCUGAGGUACUGGGGGUUAGGACUCCCACAUACUUUUUUUUUGGAGGGGACACAAUUCGAUUCAUAACAUAGGGGGUUAAAAUCAAGGUGAUGUCAAGAUUGCAUUCCUUCCGGAUACUCUAGGGGAGAAUCUGUUCUUUGAUCUUGCCACCUCUAGAACCCACAUUCCUGGGCUCAUGGCCCCUCCCAGCAAUGACACCACUCCCACCUCUCCUUCCUUUUGCUCAUCUUGUCUAACUCUCACUCUCUUGCCUCCCUCGAAUAAGAACCUUUGUUAUUAUACCUGGAGAGUCAAAGAUAAUCUCCCACCUCAAGAUCCUUAACUUAGUCACAUCUGCAAAGACUCUUUUACCACAUAAGGCAACAUAUUCACAGGUUCUGGGGAUUGUGGGUUAGGGAUUAGGGGAUCAAGACAUCUUUGAGGAAUCAUUACUCUGCCCACCUCAGAGGGUUUUGAGCAGAGGAGUGAUAUAAUCUGCAUUGUAUUUUAGAAAAAUCUCUGUACCUGCUGGGUGGAAGGGAAGAGUUUGAAGAAGCAGACCCAGUAGAAGACUGUAGCAGUGGUUCCGGUGGAAGAAGAUGGUGCCCUGGACAAGAGUGGUUGGGGUGCAGAUGCAGAGAAGUUGUCAGAUUCUGGAUGUAUUGUGAAGAUUGACUUGCCCAUGGACUGCAUGAGACAGGUUCACUGGAGCACUGUAAAUUAGACUGACAAAAGACAGAUUAUUGGGAGAAAAAAAUACAAAGAAGCUAAUAGGCCGAAGAGCUUAUAUACCAUUUUAAACAAAGAAUGAUAAACUGUGGAGACUUGACAGGAAAGAAAAAAGGGUUUGAGGCUUUCCAGAGCAGUCCACUACGGGAAGAUCUCACUCUGGACGAUUAAACACCAAUAUCACCAACCUGAGUAGGCCUUCCAGGAAAUACCGGGGACACUAAGAAGCCACACCCACUGAACCAUUCUAUGGUAACUCAGCAUUUGAAGCAAAUUGGAAAGGUGAAAAAGCUCGAUAAGUGGGUGCUUCAUGAGCUGACCGAAAGUAAAAAAAAAAAAUUGUCGUUUUGAAGUGUCAUCUUCUCUUACUCUAUGCAACAACAAUGAACCACUUCUUGAUUGGAUUGUGAUGUGCGAGGAAAAGUGGAUUUUAUGUAACAACUGGUGAUGACCAGCUCAGUGGUUGGACCAAGAAGAAGCUCCAAAGCACUUCCCAAAGCCAAACUUGCAUCAAAAAAGGUCAUGGUCACUGCGUGGUGGUCUGCUGCCAGUCUGAUCCACUACAGCUUUCCGAAUCCCUGGGAAACCAUUACGGCUGAGAAGUAUGCUCAGCAAACCAAUGAGAUGCACGGAAAACUGCAGUGCCUGCAGCCGGCAUUGGUCAACAGGAAGGGCCCAAUUCUUCUCCACUGCAAUGUCCGACUGCACAUCACAACCAAAGCUUCAGAAGUUGAACAAAUUGGGCUACGAAGUCUUGCCUCAUCUCCCAUAUUCACCUGACCACUUGCCAGCCGACUACCACUUCUUCAAGCAUCUCGACAACUUUUUGCAGGGAAAAUGCUUCCACAACCAGCAGGAUGCAGAAAAUGCUUUCCAAAAGUUUGUCGAAUCCCAAAGCAUGGAUUUUUAUGCUA
This is a long non-coding RNA of Cercocebus atys (sooty mangabey), 2226 nucleotides long. RefSeq lists it as uncharacterized. The transcript is spliced from 3 exons. The record is from RefSeq and is a predicted model, not a curated record. Lineage: Eukaryota; Metazoa; Chordata; Mammalia; Primates; Cercopithecidae.